RNAcentral lists this ribosomal RNA (568 nucleotides) under Triscelophorus cf. acuminatus UMB-558.10. Its description in RNAcentral is "eukaryotic LSU rRNA". The stretch from base 209 to 362 matches the Rfam family "5.8S ribosomal RNA". The record is from RNAcentral. Lineage: Eukaryota; Fungi; Ascomycota; Dothideomycetes. RNAcentral also lists the same sequence under 1 other name.
AAGGAUCAUUAACGAGUUUUAAUUGGUUUUUGUAAAAAGAUCAAAACUCCCACCCUAUGUGUAUUUUGGAGACUAUUGCUUUGGCAGGACAGUUUAGUGAUAAACUGAUCAGACUGAUUUUAAAUCAACUGGUUUUGUUGCCUGCCAGAGUACCAAACAAACUCUGUUUUAACCUAAAGUCUGAGAAAUUAUUUUGAAAAUAAAUCAAAACUUUCAACAACGGAUCUCUUGGUUCUGGCAUCGAUGAAGAACGCAGCGAAAUGCGAUAAGUAAUGUGAAUUGCAGAAUUCAGCGAAUCAUCGAAUCUUUGAACGCACAUUGCGCCUCUUGGUAUUCCUUGAGGCAUGCCUGUUCGAGCGUCGUUUUGACCAUAAGGCUUUGCCUUGCGAUGAGAAUUUUGGAUUUUGUUGAAAAAAGGCAAAACCAAAUUUUCCAAACUGAUUGGCGUCUGAUUAUUUGGCCAAAAACACAGCGAUAUGUGUUGAUAACCCCAAAAAACAAGACUGCUUAAACCAAAAUUAUAAAACUGGUCGACCUCGAAUCAAGCAAGACUACCCACUGAACUUAA